Molecule: non-coding RNA, 22 nt
Filed under: Mus musculus (house mouse)
Lineage: Eukaryota; Metazoa; Chordata; Mammalia; Rodentia; Muridae
Source: RNAcentral
GAAAAAGAGGAAAAAGGGAGAA